GGAAGCUGGAAACUUUCACGUGCCAUUGUCGCCAAAAACCUUCGCCUUUAUAAACCCCUUAUCCUACCUUGCCUUAUUGUUCUUCUCCUGCUCUAGGAUUUCCGCUCCAACUGCGUUGAGUGAUCGGUGAUGGUAGUGUGGUCGGCGUGGUGCGGUGGUCGUCAGGCUUCAUCUCCGUUCACCAAGGUUGGAUCCGGUUCGGUGUGGCGCCGCUCCCUCCGCUAUCAGGCUCCGCGGCAGCGGCGUUCUCCCUUCUUCAUCUUCCUCUCCGACCUUGUGUGGUGGUGCUGGUCUUGGAGUUGGGGUUUCCUGUACCUUGCCAUCCAGAUCUGCGCCCGUCUGCUAUCAAUUUCUUAUCGACUUGAGCAGGUUCUCCUCCCCUUCGGAUGACUCAAGGAAUCUACUAAUAGUUCUCCUAAUCAUAGAUUUUGUCUUGCAG
RNAcentral lists this long non-coding RNA (439 nucleotides) under Sorghum bicolor (sorghum). RNAcentral's name for it is "long non-coding RNA (SBIC_LNC003855)". The record is from RNAcentral. Lineage: Eukaryota; Viridiplantae; Streptophyta; Magnoliopsida; Poales; Poaceae.